UAACUGAAGAGUUUGAUCAUGGCUCAGAUUGAACGCUGGCGGCAGGCUUAACACAUGCAAGUCGAGCGGGGGAAGGUAGCUUGCUACCGGACCUAGCGGCGGACGGGUGAGUAAUGCUUAGGAAUCUGCCUAUUAGUGGGGGACAACAUCUCGAAAGGGAUGCUAAUACCGCAUACGUCCUACGGGAGAAAGCAGGGGAUCUUCGGACCUUGCGCUAAUAGAUGAGCCUAAGUCGGAUUAGCUAGUUGGUGGGGUAAAGGCCUACCAAGGCGACGAUCUGUAGCGGGUCUGAGAGGAUGAUCCGCCACACUGGGACUGAGACACGGCCCAGACUCCUACGGGAGGCAGCAGUGGGGAAUAUUGGACAAUGGGGGGAACCCUGAUCCAGCCAUGCCGCGUGUGUGAAGAAGGCCUUAUGGUUGUAAAGCACUUUAAGCGAGGA
Molecule: ribosomal RNA, 442 nt
Filed under: Acinetobacter baumannii
Lineage: Bacteria; Pseudomonadati; Pseudomonadota; Gammaproteobacteria; Moraxellales; Moraxellaceae
Description: bacterial SSU rRNA
Rfam family: Bacterial small subunit ribosomal RNA
Source: RNAcentral